Molecule: small nuclear RNA, 107 nt
Filed under: Dasypus novemcinctus (nine-banded armadillo)
Lineage: Eukaryota; Metazoa; Chordata; Mammalia; Cingulata; Dasypodidae
Source: RNAcentral
GUGCUCAUUUCAAUAGCAUAUAUACUAAAAUUGAAAUAAUACACAGAUAAUUAGCAUGGCCUCUGCACAAGGAUGACACACAGAUUUGUGAAGCAUUUCAUAUUCUU